RNAcentral lists this ribosomal RNA (626 nucleotides) under Phellinus juniperinus. RNAcentral's name for it is "eukaryotic LSU rRNA". The stretch from base 217 to 370 matches the Rfam family "5.8S ribosomal RNA". Lineage: Eukaryota; Fungi; Basidiomycota; Agaricomycetes; Hymenochaetales; Hymenochaetaceae. The record is from RNAcentral.
CAACCCCUGUGCACUUUAUCAGAGUUAGUAAUAGUAUUGUGGUGGCAGCCGUUUGUUAUUCAUUGUUAGAAGCGGGGUAACUCUUUCUAGCAGUAGUAAUAAUAACAAUCUUGGUUCUACUACUAUUACUGUGAACACUUUGACUUUUACUUAUACAAACACUUUGCUUGUUCUUGUGAAUGUGUAAUGCUCCUUGUGAGCGAAAUACAAAUAUACAACUUUCAACAACGGAUCUCUUGGCUCUCGCAUCGAUGAAGAACGCAGCGAAAUGCGAUAAGUAAUGUGAAUUGCAGAAUUCAGUGAAUCAUCGAAUCUUUGAACGCACCUUGCGCCCCUUGGUAUUCCGAGGGGCAUGCCUGUUUGAGUGUCAUGUAAUUCUCAAUCCUCUUUUUUCUUAAUUGAAGAGGGGGCUUGGACUUGGAGGUUAAUAUAUACAUGCUGGUACUGUCUGUAUCGGCUCCUCUAAAAUGCAUUAGCUGGACUGUAGUUCGCAUUGUUUGGUGUAGUAAUAGUUUUCUAUCUAUAUUCACUACAGUGCUUGCUUAGACUGUCUGCUUCUAAUAGUCCGCCUAUAUGUCGGACAGGUACUCUGUUACCUUAAACCAUUUGACUCCUUUGACCUCAAA